Molecule: ribosomal RNA, 509 nt
Filed under: uncultured bacterium
Lineage: Bacteria
Description: bacterial SSU rRNA
Rfam family: Bacterial small subunit ribosomal RNA
Source: RNAcentral
GAUUAUGGCUCAGGAUGAACGCUAGCGACAGGCUAACACAUGCAAGUCGAGGGGCAGCAUAAAAGUAGCAAUACUUGGUGGCGACCGGCGCACGGGUGAGUAACGCGUAUGCAACCUACCUAUCAGAGGGGAAUAACCCGGCGAAAGUCGGACUAAUACCGCAUAAAACAGGGACACCGCAUGGUGAUAUUUGUUAAAGAAAUUCGCUGAUAGAUGGGCAUGCGUUCCAUUAGGUAGUUGGUGAGGUAACGGCUCACCAAGCCGACGAUGGAUAGGGGAACUGAGAGGUUGGUCCCCCACACUGGUACUGAGACACGGACCAGACUCCUACGGGAGGCAGCAGUGAGGAAUAUUGGUCAAUGGGCGAGAGCCUGAACCAGCCAAGUCGCGUGAAGGAAGAAGGAUCUAUGGUUCGUAAACUUCUUUUGCAGGGGAAUAAAGUGCAGGACGUGUCCUGUUUUGUAUGUACCCUGAGAAUAAGGAUCGGCUAACUCCGUGCCAGCCGCCGC